AUUGAACGCUGGCGGCAUGCCUUACACAUGCAAGUCGAACGGCAGCAUGAUCUAGCUUGCUAGCUUGAUGGCGAGUGGCGAACGGGAGAGUAAUACAUCGGAACGUGCCCUGUAGAGGGGGAUAACUAGUCGAAAGAUUAGCUAAUACCGCAUACGACCUGAGGGUGAAAGUGGGGGACCGCAAGGCCUACUGCUAUAGGAGCGGCCGAUGUCUGAUUACGCAGUUGGUGAGGUAAAGGCUCACCAAGGCGACGAUCAGUAGCUGGUCUGAGAGGACGAUCAGCCACACUGGGACUGAGACACGGCCCAGACUCCUACGGGAGGCAGCAGUGGGGAAUUUUGGACAAUGGGCGAAAGCCUGAUCCAGCAAUGCCGCGGGUGUGAAGAAGGUCUUCGGAUUGUAAAGCACUUUUGUCCGGAAAGAAAUGGCUCUGGUUAAUACCUGGGGUCGAUGACGGUACCGAAAGAAUAAGGACCGGCUAACUACGUG
This 490-nucleotide ribosomal RNA is filed under the name uncultured bacterium. RNAcentral describes it as "partial 16S ribosomal RNA". It matches the Rfam family "Bacterial small subunit ribosomal RNA", at positions 30 to 507 of the family's 1533-position model. The record is from RNAcentral.